CAUGAAAGGAAGAAGAUCAUCAUGACAAUUCUUUUAAUCUUUGCGCACAAUGAUAUUGCAUCUUGAAAAUUCAUUGUAUCCUCAGCGACCAAAUUUAUUGAAUGAGCAAAACAUGCAAUAUGUUUGAUAGACCCAAAGGUGCAGAAUAAAGAGGCACAAUAGUUUUCAUCAAGUUCCUGAAUCCUUCAUUAUCUACUGUCUGGAAAGGCAUAUUGUCUUUGGCAAGCAUGAAAAGGAUGGCAUUGUUCUUCAGGAUCCUAAAGGCCCUAACCUCAAAAUUCAAUCUUUUCAUUUUACUAAAAAAAUAUCUAACUCUAAAUAUUUGAUUUCUAAAAUUUUAAGAUUGAUUUUGGACAUUAGAGCCUGUAUCUAACACCAUGGAGGCGAAUAAAUGUGGUGCGAUGGUGGAUGCCUCUCGGCGAACUGUUAUAUAUACAGGACUAGGUGCUGGUGAAGAAGCAGGAGUUAAAUUAGAUUCAGAUAGAUCCAUGGACGUGAAUGUAGAGGUAGAUGCCGGUGAUGGCAUUAAUGACAAUUUUAAUUGGUUCUGAAAAUAAACAAGAGUAAACAAAUAAU
This is a long non-coding RNA of Formica exsecta, 576 nucleotides long. RefSeq lists it as uncharacterized. The transcript has 4 exons. The record is from RefSeq and is a predicted model, not a curated record. Lineage: Eukaryota; Metazoa; Arthropoda; Insecta; Hymenoptera; Formicidae.